AAAAAAAUCUGGCACAUAAGAUACCACGACCAGCAAAGUGAUUUUCUUAGGGUGAGACUUAUCCGUUGCACUCAGGAUGUGGUGUCCCCUGUAAUUUUCCAAAAUGCAGGAAACUUGACUGCAUAAUUUUUGGUAGUGGGAGACUGCUUUCACACUUUCCCCUA
This is a small nuclear RNA of Phodopus roborovskii (desert hamster), 164 nucleotides long. RefSeq annotates it as U1 spliceosomal RNA. The transcript has a single exon. Lineage: Eukaryota; Metazoa; Chordata; Mammalia; Rodentia; Cricetidae. The record is from RefSeq and is a predicted model, not a curated record.